Molecule: ribosomal RNA, 316 nt
Filed under: Citrobacter sp. wls830
Lineage: Bacteria; Pseudomonadati; Pseudomonadota; Gammaproteobacteria; Enterobacterales; Enterobacteriaceae
Description: bacterial SSU rRNA
Rfam family: Bacterial small subunit ribosomal RNA
Source: RNAcentral
GUAGCGGUGAAAUGCGUAGAGAUCUGGAGGAAUACCGGUGGCGAAGGCGGCCCCCUGGACAAAGACUGACGCUCAGGUGCGAAAGCGUGGGGAGCAAACAGGAUUAGAUACCCUGGUAGUCCACGCCGUAAACGAUGUCGACUUGGAGGUUGUGCCCUUGAGGCGUGGCUUCCGGAGCUAACGCGUUAAGUCGACCGCCUGGGGAGUACGGCCGCAAGGUUAAAACUCAAAUGAAUUGACGGGGGCCCGCACAAGCGGUGGAGCAUGUGGUUUAAUUCGAUGCAACGCGAAGAACCUUACCUACUCUUGACAUCCA